Doryrhamphus excisus (bluestripe pipefish) is the source of this 3402-nucleotide non-coding RNA. The record is from RefSeq and is a predicted model, not a curated record. Lineage: Eukaryota; Metazoa; Chordata; Actinopteri; Syngnathiformes; Syngnathidae.
CCUGAUUGGCUGUAGACCACUGUCAAUUAAUCUCCUUCCUACCUUGUUUCCUGUUCCAUCGUGGCUAGCAUUUAGCAUUUGAAUGCUAGCGAUGGCGUUCUGAGACGUUCUGUACCCAAAAGGCAGAUAAAGUCAGCCGUUGCACAAAUAAGUUAUGGACUUGCUAGAACGCCACAUUCAACCAAUAAACAGCAACCAUUUAUUGAUCAUUUUAUCAGAAAAUACGACACUGAAUGACCGAUGUUUGAACGGAUCACUUCCGAUUAUUACCUUGUGCAGCAUGUUCGGCUUGGGGCCGCAGUUUGGCCAGCGGCGGCUCUGCUGAGGUGUAGAGACUCGACAAGUAUUCACGGGGAGAACCACCAGCGGGAGACCUUCUUGUGGGAGAAGGAUGCCCAGCAGAGACAGCACAUUGGUGUGAUGGAACCCCUUCAUUAUGAUGCCUUCUUUCAGAAACUGCUCCACCUCCUCCACGUCUGUUAUUCCUGAUGGCACACAAACUUUUCAGUAGGAGUACUACUCUUGAACAGUACACAUGAUAAACGAGUACCGAUGGCUGACUCACGAUUUAAAGAUUUGACAGCACAGUGUAUUUCUCUGCUGUUAUGGUCAGUGAAGUAGCCAUGAUAGACUGUUCCAAAAUGACCUGCAAGAGAAACCCAAAAAAAAAACACAAUUGCAGAGAACUUGCAAAACUCGCUAUACUGUCUUUACAGUACAUCCCCGUUUUUCCCAGAAGGUACGUUCCACGCCUACCAGCAAAUGCAAUAAACGGCCACCCAUCCUUCUUUUAUUCAUCGUAUCCUCAAUUAGGUUGUGGGGGCAUGCUGGGGCCGAUCCCAGCUGCCUGAGGCGGGUGGCCAGUCAACGCGGGGCACAUAUCCAAUCCAGUCCAAUCCACUUUAUUUAUAUAGCACAUUUUAUAAACAGAGUUUCCAAAGUGCUGCACAGACUAGUAAAAUAAAAAGUCAAAAUAAAAUACAAUAAAGGUACAAAUUGAAUUUAAUCCAAAACUAAAAGAUCAAAUAUUAAAUAAAAUUGUAAAAAAGAUAUUAAAAUAUUAAAAACAAGAAGCAAAGCAAUAAAAGUACAUAAAAAAAUAAAAGCAAUUAAAAUAAAAAGAACUAAAAGACACAGGACCAAACGACUCACUCCGAGUUAAAAACAAGAGAAUAAAAGUGGCUUUUAAGACGAGACUUAAAGCUUUCCAUGUUGGGGGCCUGGGGCCAACCAUAGAAAAGGCUCAGUCCCUCUGGUCUUAAGUCUCGUCUUGGGCACCACAAGUUGGAGCUGGCCCUCGGACCUCAGUGACCGCGCUGGAGACUAAAUUUGGAUAAGGUCCGAGAUGUAUUUGGGGGCCGGCACAUUCAACGCCUUAAAAACAAACAAUAAAAUCUUAAAAUCAAUCCUAAAGCCAACAGGCAACCAAUGCAGGGAGGCCAAAAUGACAUCCAGACAAGCAACCUUUUACGGCCAUAUUUGUACCUACAGACAACCUAACAGCCUCGCUCUCGUAGACCCGAUCUACUGUCUCAUCUGGUGGCACCCCCAUAGGUACUCACUGCUAAUUAACAAUAAGAUACAUGAUGGACAGGCGGCACGGUGGUCUAGUGGUUAGCGCGCAGACCUCACAACUAGGAGACCCUCGGCCAUCUCUGUGUGGAGUUUGCAUGUUCUCCCCGUGCAUGCGUGGGUUUUCUCCGGGUACUCCGGUUUCCUCCCACAUUCCAAAAACAUGCUAGGUUAAUUGGCGACUCCAAAUUGUCCAUAGGUAUGAAUGUGAGUGUGAAUGGUUGUUUGUCUAUACGUGCCCUGUGAUUGGCUGGCGACCAGUCCAGGGUGUACCCCGCCUCUCGCCCAAAGACAGCUGGGAUAGGCUCCAGCACCCCCGCGACCCUCGUGAGGAAAAAGCGGUAGAAAAUGAAUGAAUGAAUACAUGAUGGACGAAGUGCACACAACUGUGGUGUGUUCAGGGACCGCUGGAAAAAGUGCAAAAUCUCAAAAACCAAAAACAUUGAAGCAUAAAAACAUGAGGGGGUGUGGUCUGGUAACCGUGGCACCAGAUUUUGAAGACUCCAAAAUGGAGAAAGGGCGGGGGUCCACUGUACUAUAAUAGUAUUUUUUACUUUUACCUUUGCCAAUGAUCCGAUGGUGCUGCACGAUCAGCAUUUCAGCAGGAAUGAGAACAUCCUUCACUUCCUCCAGCAGCUCCGGCCUAAAACUGGAAAUGGAGAUUUUCUCUGCCGCCAUGAGAGGAGUGAGGGUCACGUCUAUACUGCUUGCAGCGUAGGCCAAGCUGGGGAAGGCCACGGACCCAACCAUGGGAGUCGGAGGAUUGAGGGACACUACUAGUGAAAACACAGACAUUUAUUAAGGACAGAGAAAAUGGCACCACAGCAUGUCUUGGAGGCACCUCUCCUGUAGUCCCCAACGGGUGACAUCUCCACGCUAUUUGACGCGGAACGGCUAGCACUGUGAGCCAAACGGGUCUCCACCAUGGAGGCUGAAAAACAUUUCACAACAUUGUUUUAAUUAUCAACCACCGAUGAGUAGAGCCGACAAACAUAGACAAUGAAACACCAAGGAUGUUCCGGUUGGAGGAGCUGCGUAAUUCACCGACAGCCGCGGCGCUAACUGCUGCAUAAACAGGUCUGAACAAGGUCCAAACAGGCUACCUUUCUUUUUCUUCCGCAAGUGCUUCAUGACAACGAAGGCUAGCACAGCCCCGGCCACCAGAGCCGCCAAGAUCCCCAGCACUAUCCCGACCAUGUAGUGGUUGCUGACUCGGAUCACGGUACCCACAUUGUGGACUUGUCCGUUAAUGGAGAUCUGGAACGAAGAGUCAUCAUACAUUUUAAAUAAAGGCUUUUCACUGCAACAGGAAACCAUUUUUAAAUAUUCAUCCCAGACUCAAGAUGAAUGCAUUUCCAUACAUAUACUGUAUGGGUAACAAAUACUCUCUAGGGUAUAUGUACUUCAUCAUGCCUAAUGUAUGCAGCCAUCACCCUACAAGCCUAAGACCCCCCUAAUGGCCACACCGUAACACAUGCACAUGAUGUAAUGUGGUCAAACAUGAAUAAAGUAUUUUUGGUAUUUCAUUCCAUGGUUUGUGCACUUAUAUGGUUUUACUGUGUACAGGAAAACUGAUCUUAUGGACCAGCGGGUUUUCAAUCCAGCAUUGCUAGCCUACCCAGAUUGGUGAAAUGUCCAAUUUCCCAUACGGAACAUAUUUCAAGUGAGGGGCAGACUGCCUGAAAUCAGCCCAAAAGGCCAGGCAUUCAGUGAUACAUGUAUAAUGUACAAAUGUAUCAUUUCCGGUGACUCGGACCCGGUGGAGGAGAGUCCAAAGGGCAGCCCGGGGGCCAUUUUCAGCUUAAAUUAAACUACAGUAAACCUCGGAUA